GACGAACGCUGGCGGCGUGCUUAACACAUGCAAGUCGUACGGUAAGGCCCUUUCGGGGGUACACGAGUGGCGAACGGGUGAGUAACACGUGAGUAACCUGCCCACAACUUUGGGAUAACGCUAGGAAACUGGUGCUAAUACUGGAUAUGUGCUCCUGCUGCAUGGUGGGGGUUGGAAAGCUCCGGCGGUUGUGGAUGGACUCGCGGCCUAUCAGCUUGUUGGUGGGGUAGUGGCCUACCAAGGCGGCGACGGGUAGCCGGCCUGGGAGGGUGACCGGCCACAUUGGGACUGAGCUACGGCCCAGACUCCUACGGGAGGCAGCAGUGGGGAAUAUUGCACAAUGGGCGCAAGCCUGCUGCAGCAACGCCGCGUGCGGGAUGACGGCCUUCGGGUUGUAAACCGCUUUCAGCAGGGACGAAGCUUUUUGUGACGGUACCUGCAGAAGAAGCACCGGCUAACUACGUG
Molecule: ribosomal RNA, 465 nt
Filed under: uncultured bacterium
Lineage: Bacteria
Description: partial 16S ribosomal RNA
Rfam family: Bacterial small subunit ribosomal RNA
Source: RNAcentral